This is a long non-coding RNA of Salvia miltiorrhiza (redroot sage), 574 nucleotides long. RefSeq lists it as uncharacterized. The transcript is spliced from 2 exons. NCBI's taxonomy places the organism in Eukaryota, Viridiplantae, Streptophyta, Magnoliopsida, Lamiales, Lamiaceae. The record is from RefSeq and is a predicted model, not a curated record.
AGAGUUAAUUUAUCAAUUAGAUAGAUAGAUUCAUUAAGUCAAAUUAGCUACUGGAAGAACACGUAUCCCUCAACUUUCCACGCAGCUUUUCAUAAACCGACUCCAAAUCAUAUAAAAUCUCUCCUCAGGAUUUUUCCUCAUUCUGCAAGAUCUUAAAUACACCGGCAAAAUACCAUCCCAAAUCCGACUCAACCACGAUCAUUUACAAUUCCCAGCAGUUCAUAGCAGCAUCAAGCAAAGCAGGUUAAGCUGUGAUGCAGAUGGAUGUCAGCAGAGCAAAGCUUUUGAUAUAUAAGCACUAAAUUAGGCUCAGGAUUCCAUGUCUUCAUACAUGUAAUCCACUUAAGCUAUUCCGCUGCAACGCUUAGUGCGUUUUACUUUAUUGAUGUGUUGCAAAGAUUUCAAACUAAUAGCUUACAGAAUUAUGUCACUUGAUACUUAGACAACUUGUCGUUAUGUAUUGCGAGUUGUCUGCUUUUGAGUUUUAGAAAAGAUUGUUUAUGAUUACCAAAUAUUUUGGUAAAUUAUUGUUUAAGCAUGUUAGUGAUUUUUAUUGAGAUCUAUUUUCUUUUUU